AUACGUAGGUGGCGAGCGUUGUCCGGAAUUACUGGGCGUAAAGGAUGCGUAGGUGGAUAUUUAAGUGGGAUGUGAAAUCCCCGGGCUCAACCCGGGAACUGCAUUCCAAACUGGGUAUCUAGAGUGCAGGAGAGGAAAGCGGAAUCCCUAGUGUAGCGGUGAAAUGCGUAGAUAUUAGGAGGAACACCAGUGGCGAAGGCGGCUUUCUGGACUGUAACUGACACUGAGGCAUGAAAGCGUGGGUAGCAAACAGGAUUAGAUCCCCUGGUAGUCCACGCUGUAAACGAUGGGUACUAGGUGUAGGAGGUAUCGACCCCUUCUGUGCCGUCGUUAACACAAUAAGUACCCCGCCUGGGGAGUACGGUCGCAAGAUUAAAACUCAAAUGAAUUGGCGGGG
This 397-nucleotide ribosomal RNA is filed under the name uncultured bacterium. Its description in RNAcentral is "partial 16S ribosomal RNA". It matches the Rfam family "Bacterial small subunit ribosomal RNA", at positions 523 to 918 of the family's 1533-position model. The record is from RNAcentral.